AUCUAUGGCCAUGCUACCCUGAACAUGCCCGAUCCCAUCUGAUCUAAGAAGCUAAGCAGAGUCGGGCCUGGUUAGUACUUGGAUGAGACACCACCUAGGAAGAUCAGGUGCUGUAGGCA
RNAcentral lists this ribosomal RNA (119 nucleotides) under Pteropus alecto (black flying fox). Lineage: Eukaryota; Metazoa; Chordata; Mammalia; Chiroptera; Pteropodidae. The record is from RNAcentral.